Molecule: ribosomal RNA, 535 nt
Filed under: uncultured Bacteroidota bacterium
Lineage: Bacteria; Pseudomonadati; Bacteroidota
Description: bacterial SSU rRNA
Rfam family: Bacterial small subunit ribosomal RNA
Source: RNAcentral
AUGGAUCUGACCAGGAUGCCGCGUGCAGGAGACGGCCCUAUGGGUUGUAAACUGCUUUUUACGGGAGCAAUAAGGUCUACGUGUAGACUGAUGACAGUACCGUAUGAAUAAGCAUCGGCUAACUCCGUGCCAGCAGCCGCGGUAAUACGGAGGAUGCGAGCGUUAUCCGGAUUUAUUGGGUUUAAAGGGUGCGUAGGCGGCCUUGUAAGUCAGCGGUGAAAUUUUGCAGCUUAACUGUAAAAGUGCCGUUGAUACUGUGAGGCUAGGAUUUGGUUGCUGUGGGUGGAAUGUGUGGUGUAGCGGUGAAAUGCUUAGAGAUCACACAGAAUAUCGAUUGCGAAGGCAGCUCACAAAGCCAAGAUUGACGCUGAUGCACGAAAGUGUGGGGAUCAAACAGGAUUAGAUACCCUGGUAGUCCACACUGUAAACGAUGAUAACUAGCUGUCGGCGAUAUACUGUCGGUGGCCAAGCGAAAGCGAUAAGUUAUCCACCUGGGGAGUACGACCGCAAGGUUGAAACUCAAAGGAAUUGACGG